This 419-nucleotide unclassified non-coding RNA is filed under the name fungal sp. RNAcentral describes it as "partial internal transcribed spacer region". The stretch from base 1 to 46 matches the Rfam family "Eukaryotic small subunit ribosomal RNA", at positions 1786 to 1831 of the family's 1831-position model. The record is from RNAcentral. Lineage: Eukaryota; Fungi.
AAGUCGUAACAAGGUUUCCGUAGGUGAACCUGCGGAAGGAUCAUUGACACGUAUCCAAACGUUAAAACCCCCCCCGUGAACCUUCAUCCUGCUCUUGUAACCCGCGUAGUUCGCAAUCUCUGAUAAAUCAUAGCCCGGAAAGUUGUAGUGAUUCAGAGACCUCUGGCUACGUUAUUAGGGGGCAUGGGGACUCUUUGGCAAAGCUCCUGCCCGAGUGUACGGUCUACAGGAAUCGUAGAAGCGCUAUCCUUGCACAAUCAAUGACACUUUCCGACACUGACUGCUUGGAGAAACAUUGCCUAUAGAACUACCGCUCGAUUGUAACUGUUCCAAUGUUCGCCACAGUUUAAUGUGAAGCUCAAUGUAAUACAUUGGGUAAAAAAACCGAACAACUGUUAACAAUGGAUAUCUUGGUUCUC